Dreissena polymorpha is the source of this 2114-nucleotide long non-coding RNA. RefSeq lists it as uncharacterized. The transcript has 2 exons. The record is from RefSeq and is a predicted model, not a curated record. NCBI's taxonomy places the organism in Eukaryota, Metazoa, Mollusca, Bivalvia, Myida, Dreissenidae.
UAUUAUUUCUAAAUAUUCCUUUAAAUUUAAUCUUCAUAUGACAUUAUUGUAGACCUUUUUAUGUGAUAUUUGAGGUUUUAGUAUGGCAAAUAUUAGUUUAAAAGCAGCUGUCACCCAAAUUUUCACUUAGUGGAGUUUGCAGGUUGAAAAAGGAAGUAAUAAGACCUAUGUGGAGAAAUUAGUAACGUUGAAUGUAGUAUCGGAAUUUUAUCAUGCAAGGUUAUGGAAAUGCAGGCUAAGGAAGUUUUUUACUGUGCAUGUUGAGCACUCAAUGCUCAUUAAUGGUGUUAAUGUUUAUUAUUAUCCCCGGCCAUAGGCGGAGGGAUAUUAUUUUGGCGUUGUCUGUUCGUCCUUCCAUCCUUUUGUCUGUCGGUCUUUCCAUCCGUCCUAAGUCAUAUCUUGGAAGUGCUUUGGCAGAUUUCACUGAAACUUGGUAUGAGUAUGUAUAUGGAUAAGAGGAUGAUGCAUGCCAAAUGGCAUUGUACACCAUUAGUUAAUAACAGAGUUAUGGCCCUUUGUAUCUUGAAAAAAUGCUUUUUGUGUGUCCAAGGCCAUAUCAUGGAAGUGCUUUGGCGGAUUUCAUUGAAACCUGGUUCGAGUAUAUAUAUGGAUAAGAGGAUGAUGCACCCCAAAUGGAAUUGUACACCAUCUGUUAAAAACGGGGUUAUGGCCCUUUGUAUCUUUAAAAAAUGCUUGUUUGAGUGUCAAAUAUAAUACUUAUGUGUCCAGAAGCAUGUUGGCGGGGGAUAUCAAUUCAAUGUAUUUGCUUGUAAAUAAAAAAUUAAACCAAUGGAAUUGGUUUUUAGGUAUCUGAGUGUGCAUUUUCAUACCAAUAGAAUUACACAUCAUUCUAAUUAUAGCAAUAAUAAAUUUGUACUAAUAAUACCAACAAAUUAAGUUAUGCUUAGUGCUUUGCGAUGUAUUCACUUCGUUUUUAGUUCUCUUUCUAAAGACCAUUUAACAACUUAAUAUUUAAAACAAUUCAUGAAUUACGUUCCCUAUACAUUUUCAUUAUGUGCUUUAAUUACCAUUGACCAGUUGAUGGAAGAUACUGCAGAGUUUGGCAGGGAAAUAAUCCAACAGCAAAGCGGCUCUUUAAGCGCAUUUACCUAGAGGACUUACAGGGCCACAAAUUCAUGAGCACAUGUGAGCAGUAUACAAUGUACCUCAUACCAAAAAGGACCCGGAGGCAGUGACUGGUGUUCAAUAUUCUCAGAAGAAAAGGAAAAUGGCAGUGGAAGACUUGGACAAACAUUUUUAGCCUCUGUGUUAAGCCUGGCAGUCUGUGGCUGGUGACAUGUUUUAUUUUGGUUACUUCUUGUAUAAAAAAGACCAGUUAUUUAUUUUGUGAAUUGUAUUUUGUGUUUGUUUUUUGUCUUAAUUUAUUUGUUUGUUUUUUUAAUUUAGGAAUUUGAAACUUGGAUAAUUGAAUUAAGUCCGUGUUCAACAGUACUGAGCAUAGUAUAAUAAAUAACAAAUUUACAACAGUUGUUAAUUUGUUAUGUAUUAUUAUUAACUAUGCUCAGUACUUGAAUACUGGCUGUCUGCAUGGGAAUUUGUUUUCUAGAAAGUUGGUUUCAGACUUAAAUAUUUGAAGUUAACCUUCGGAACUUUUCUAGAAUUGUACUGGAACACAUCAACUAGAACUGAACUUCUGUAAUUGUACUGAAAGUGUUCUAGAAUUAAUAAGGAACAGUUGUUGAACGUUAAAAUUUAUGAGAAAAAACUCUAGAACAAUUGUGCGUGAUGUGUGUGUGCAUGUAAUUGUGUGUGUUUAUGAACAUAUGUGAGAAAGGAAGUAUACUUGUCAUAAGAGAAAUGUAAAAUUCUACUUCUAUGUUUUAUAUUGUGCCUUUUAUAAGUUUUUCUGUUCUCACCUGUAUAUGCGUGCAUGUUUAUGGAUGUGUUUUUGAAUGUGUGCAUGCAUGCCUGUGGUUAAGAGAGUUGGUACUUUAUGAAAAUGUAAAACCACUCAUUUUUGAAUAUGUACUGUGACUGCAUGUGUGUGGUUAAUGAUUGAUGCCAGAUCUUGUUCUUGUUUAACUUCUAUGAUGAAACCUUUAGUUACAUUCACAUUUGUUUUUCAAAAUCAAUAAAAUGCCUUUGAUCUAUAA